This 1335-nucleotide ribosomal RNA is filed under the name Triticum aestivum (bread wheat). RNAcentral's name for it is "partial small subunit ribosomal RNA". Lineage: Eukaryota; Viridiplantae; Streptophyta; Magnoliopsida; Poales; Poaceae. The record is from RNAcentral.
AUGUCAUCUCAAGGCAAUGUCCGCAGGCUGUCCCUUCAAAAAAUUAUCAAAGAAGAACAUCAAGACGCACCUCUUGAAUCUGUGAGUAUGCUACAAGUUAGGUCCAUUGCAACAUUUGAACCUGCUAUUGGUCUGAUGCCUCGUCUCUCAAGCUUUGUUGUUUUACGUGUAUUGGAUUUGAGUACAUGUGCACUUGUUGAUCAUAAUCUUCAGGGGUUGUGGAGUUUAGUUCACCUGAGGUACCUAGGCCUAUCUGAUACAGGACUUUGUGAGCUCCCGGAAGAGGUUGGAAAGUUGCAGUUUUUGCAGGUGCUGGAUGUGACAGGAAACUGGCGUAUUAGAAAACUGCCAUCAAGUGUUACUAAACUAAGAAGAUUGAUGUGCCUACUUUAUAAGGAAAGAUGUACUCGGCUUCCAGGUGGGAUUGGAAGCCUGACAGCAAUGGAAGAGUUGAGUUCUAUCCUUGGCGACUCUCUAAGCAUUGUGAAAGAGAUGGGCAACAUGAAAAGAAUGAGGAAGUUUAAAAUUGAGUUUGAGCAUAUGAGCUUGGAGUUGGAGGAAGCUUUUGUGAAGUCACUAGGGGAAAUGUCCAACCUCCAAAGUGUAACCAUUAGUAUUGAUGGUAGAUAUAAAAUGAUGGAUCUCUUGGGGGAAAAGUGGGUUCCCCCUCAAGGCCUCCGGGAAUUGAAGUCACGUGGUGGCAGAGUAUGUAGAUUCUCUAGGCUGCCAGCAUGGAUAAGAGAGAACCCCUCGCAGAUGUCGCAGCUCUCAUGGUUAGAAAUUGGCCUGACGGAGGUGCGACAGGUGGAUCUGAGACUGCUUGGAAGGUUGCCGGCUCUUCAGAUUCUCUUACUGGAGUGCCUCCGCCAGGGGCCUCUACUGGUCGAAGCAGAUGGGUUCCGUUGUCUGACACUGUUCUACUUGUGGUCCAGUUCGCCGGGCCAAGUCGUGUUCCAGCCAGGAGCUUUGCCCAAGGUGGAACGGAUUGCGCUCCAUACCGGUCUGUCCGUGGCAAAAGAGGAAGUAGAUGGCAACAACGGCGGUGAUUGGUUUGACACCGGCAUCGGGAACCUGCCUUCGCUUCGGAGUGUCAAUGUCGUAUUCUGCACUUCCCUACUGCGAGAGGAGGACGCCAAUAAAGCGACGUCUGCGCUGGUGACUACACUCCGUGCCCAUCCUAACAGCCCCGGCUAUGACGUCAACGUAGAAGGUUCUGUCAUUAUUUACUGGAGAAUUGCGGUGCGUCUGGAAUCUGGCCGACGGCGACAUGGAUCAACGGCACUUGCUAUCUUUCUUGGCAUAAAGAAAAAAAAACAAAAACAAGAAAAAAAUUAG